UAACAGAGGUAGCUUGCUACUUGCUGACGACCGGCGCACGGGUGCGUAACGCGUAUAGAAUCUACCUUAUACUGGGGGAUAGCCUUUGGAAACGAAGAUUAAUACCCCAUAGUAUGUUUGAAUGGCAUCAUUUGGACAUUAAAGUUUCGGCGGUAUAAGAUGACUAUGCGUUCUAUUAGUUUGUUGGUAAGGUAACGGCUUACCAAGACUACGAUAGAUAGGGGUCCUGAGAGGGAGAUCCCCCACACUGGUACUGAGACACGGACCAGACUCCUACGGGAGGCAGCAGUGAGGAAUAUUGGACAAUGGAGGCAACUCUGAUCCAGCCAUGCCGCGUGUAGGAAGACUGCCCUAUGGGUUGUAAACUACUUUUAUAUGGGAAGAAUAAGGUCUACGUGUAGACUGAUGACGGUACCAUAAGAAUAAGCACCGGCUAACUCCGUGCCAGCAGCCGCGGUAAUACGGAGGGUGCAAGCGUUAUCCGGAAUCAUUGGGUUUAAAGGGUCCGUAGGCGGGCAUAUAAGUCAGUGGUGAAAGUCUGUGGCUCAACCAUAGAAUUGCCAUUGAUACUGUAUGUCUUGAAUUAUUGUGAAGUGGUUAGAAUAUGUAGUGUACC
Molecule: ribosomal RNA, 616 nt
Filed under: Dokdonia sp. UA-AR0504
Lineage: Bacteria; Pseudomonadati; Bacteroidota; Flavobacteriia; Flavobacteriales; Flavobacteriaceae
Description: bacterial SSU rRNA
Rfam family: Bacterial small subunit ribosomal RNA
Source: RNAcentral